UACGUAGGGUGCAAGCGUUGCCCGGAUUUAUUGGGCGUAAAGGGCGCGUAGGCGGCUCUGCACGUCCGUUGUGAAAUCGCCCGGCUCAACUGGGCGGGGUCAGCGGAUACGGCAGAGCUUGAGCAAGCUAGGGGGCAAUGGAAUUCCCGGUGUAGUGGUGGAAUGCGUAGAUAUCGGGAGGAACACCAGUGGCGAAGGCGACUUCCUGGACAGAUACUGACACUGAGGCACGAAAGCAUGGGGAGCAAACAGG
RNAcentral lists this ribosomal RNA (253 nucleotides) under uncultured bacterium. RNAcentral's name for it is "partial 16S ribosomal RNA". It matches the Rfam family "Bacterial small subunit ribosomal RNA", at positions 524 to 776 of the family's 1533-position model. The record is from RNAcentral.